CCUACGGGGGGCAGCAGUGAGGAAUAUUGGUCAAUGGACGCAAGUCUGAACCAGCCAUGCCGCGUGCAGGAAGACGGCCCUAUGAGUUGUAAACUGCUUUUGUACGAGGGUAAACGCAGAUACGCGUAUCUGUCUGAAAGUAUCGUACGAAUAAGGACCGGCUAAUUCCGUGCCAGCAGCCGCGGUAAUACGGAGGAUUCAAGCGUUAUCCGGAUUUAUUGGGUUUAAAGGGGGCGUAGGCGGCCGGGUAAGUUAGAGGUGAAAUCCCGAGGCUCAACUUCGGAAUUGCAGCGGAUACUGGGGGGCUAGAGAGUAGUGGAGGUAGGCGGAAUGUAUGGUGUAGCGGUGAAAUGCUUAGAGAUCAUACAGAACACCGAUUGCGAAGGCAGCUUACCGAGGUACUACUGACGUUGAGGCACGAAAGCGUGGGGAGCAAACAGGAUUAGAUACCCCUGUAGUC
This 460-nucleotide ribosomal RNA is filed under the name uncultured bacterium. RNAcentral describes it as "partial 16S ribosomal RNA". It matches the Rfam family "Bacterial small subunit ribosomal RNA", at positions 338 to 795 of the family's 1533-position model. The record is from RNAcentral.